This 1437-nucleotide ribosomal RNA is filed under the name metagenome. RNAcentral's name for it is "bacterial LSU rRNA". It matches the Rfam family "Bacterial large subunit ribosomal RNA", at positions 1473 to 2925 of the family's 2925-position model. The record is from RNAcentral.
CGGAGACGGAUAGUGUGACCCUCUUAAUGGAUUGAGGGCGAAGCGAAGCGGCUGGUUACCAGGCAAAUCCGGUAACCAUAAGGCUAGAGCGUGAUAGGUAAGCGAAAUCUUAGGAGAGUAGCGAAGCACAUGAUGACGGCUUCCAGGAAAAGCUUCUGGCAAUGCAUAUGCGGCCCGUACCAAAACCGACACGGGUGGGCAGGGAGAGAAUCCCGAGGUGAGCGAGAGAACUGUUGCCAAGGAACUCGGCAAAAUGACCCCGUAAGUUAGCGAGAAGGAGUGCUUAAGCAAUUAAGCCGCAGUGAAGAGGCCCAAGCGACUGUUUAACUAAAACACAGCUCUCUGCGAAGUCGCAAGACGAAGUAUAGGGGGUGACACCUGCCCGGUGCUGGAAGGUUAAGAGGAUCUGUUAAGAGCGAUCUGAAGCAGUGAUCCGAAGCCCCAGUGAACGGCGGCCGUAACAAUAACGGUCCUAAGGUAGCGAAGUUCCUUGUCAGGUAAGUUCUGACCCGCACGAAAGGUGUAACGAUUUGGGCGCUGUCUCGGCAGCAGACUCGGUGAAAUCUUAGUACCUGUGAAAAUGCAGGUUACCCGCAACUAGACGGAAAGACCCCAUGGAGCUUUACUGCAGCCUGAUAUUGAGUUCUGGUCAUACAUGUACAGGAUAGGUGGGAGACAAAGAGACGUGCACGCCAGUGUACGAGGAGUCGACGUUGGGAUACCACUCUUGUGUGACCGGGGUUCUAACCUGGUAUCGAGAACAGGUACGGGGAGAGUGUCAGGUGGGCAGUUUGACUGGGCGGUCGCCUCCCAAAGAGUAACGGAGGCGCCCAAAGGUACGCUCAGAUUGGAUGGAAACCAAUCGUCGAGUGCAAUUGCAGAAGCGUGCUUGACUGUGAGACUUACAAGUCGAACAGGGACGAAAGUCGGGAAUAGUGAUCCGGCGGUGCCGAAUGGAAGGGCCGUCGCUCAACGGAUAAAAGCUACCCUGGGGAUAACAGGCUGAUCUCGCCCAAGAGUUCACAUCGACGGCGAGGUUUGGCACCUCGAUGUCGGCUCAUCGCAUCCUGGAGCUGGAUUCGGUUCCAAGGGUUGGGCUGUCCGCCCAUUAAAGCGGUACGCGAGCUGGGUUCAGAACGUCGUGAGACAGUUCGGUCCCUAUCUGUUGUGGGCGAAGGAGAUCUGCGGAGAGCUGUCCUCAGUACGAGAGGACCGGGAUGGACCUACCGCUGGUGCACCGGUUGUUCCGCCAGGGGCAUAGCCGGGUAGCUAAGUAGGGAAAGGAUAAGUGCUGAAAGCAUCUAAGCACGAAGCCUACUCCAAGAUGAGAUCUCCCAUUCGCAAGAAGUAAGACCCCUUAAAGACGAUAAGGUAGAUAGGCCAGAGAUGGAAGUGCAGUGAUGUACGGAGUUGACUGGUACUAAUCGGUCGAGGACU